RNAcentral lists this long non-coding RNA (424 nucleotides) under Mus musculus (house mouse). Its description in RNAcentral is "long non-coding RNA chr11:86506607-86507031". The record is from RNAcentral. Lineage: Eukaryota; Metazoa; Chordata; Mammalia; Rodentia; Muridae.
AAACAUUCUCACUGUAAUUUCUAAAACAGAAUGUUAAGAUUAUGAAAAUCAAUUUGUAGAUACCAGUAAGUUAUCAAAGAAAUGGCUUAAAAGCAAAGUCAUUCAAGCUUCCCACAUAAACUUCUCACUGCAUCAACCUGAGGUUUCCUACAGCUGCAUGGAGACCUAAGUUCUUUCACUUACCAGAAAGACCUGGUUGGCACUUUCACUGAGAGUGGAGUCAUCAGGGCUGUCAACAGGUGUCUGACGUGUAAACUUUGAAUCAAACUGACUCACAUCCUCUUCAGAUUGCUUCAUAAGAACAAUGGUUAGAAAAUGGUGAACAGUCUAUAUUAUUCCUAUCAAUCAAAGGUGCCACAAGCCCUAUAUUCUUUGCACAGGGUUUAACUGUAAUAAAACAUGAGAAUAAUUUUAGCAGCCACAG